RNAcentral lists this microRNA precursor (52 nucleotides) under Nematostella vectensis (starlet sea anemone). RNAcentral describes it as "Nve-Mir-2022_pre stem-loop". The record is from RNAcentral. Lineage: Eukaryota; Metazoa; Cnidaria; Anthozoa; Actiniaria; Edwardsiidae.
GGGAUAAAUCAACUGUCAAGUGGUUGUCAUUUGCUAGUUGCUUUUGUCCCGC